Molecule: transfer RNA, 76 nt
Filed under: Roseospira marina
Lineage: Bacteria; Pseudomonadati; Pseudomonadota; Alphaproteobacteria; Rhodospirillales; Rhodospirillaceae
Also listed under: 22 other names
Description: tRNA-Glu
Rfam family: tRNA
About the family: Transfer RNA (tRNA) molecules are approximately 80 nucleotides in length. Their secondary structure includes four short double-helical elements and three loops (D, anti-codon, and T loops).
Source: RNAcentral
GUCCCCAUCGUCUAGAGGCCUAGGACACCGCCCUUUCACGGCGGCAACAGGGGUUCGAAUCCCCUUGGGGACGCCA